UACGGAGGAUGCAAGCGUUAUCCGGAAUGAUUGGGCGUAAAGGGUCCGCAGGUGGCUAUGUAAGUCUGCUGUUAAAGAGUCACGCUCAACGUGAUAAAAGCAGUGGAAACUACAAGGCUAGAGUGCGUUCGGGGCAGAGGGAAUUCCUGGUGUAGCGGUGAAAUGCGUAGAUAUCAGGAAGAACACCGGUGGCGAAAGCGUUCUGCUAGACCAAAACUGACACUGAGGGACGAAAGCUAGGGGAGCGAAUGGG
Molecule: ribosomal RNA, 253 nt
Filed under: uncultured bacterium
Lineage: Bacteria
Description: partial 16S ribosomal RNA
Rfam family: Bacterial small subunit ribosomal RNA
Source: RNAcentral